This 571-nucleotide unclassified non-coding RNA is filed under the name Sitophilus oryzae (rice weevil). RNAcentral's name for it is "thioredoxin domain-containing protein 17-like, transcript variant X3". The record is from RNAcentral. Lineage: Eukaryota; Metazoa; Arthropoda; Insecta; Coleoptera; Curculionidae.
AAUUUGGUGACAGUUAUAACUGAAUUUUUCAGGAACCGUGUUCCGUAAUAAGAAAACUUUCAGGAAACCGAUAGAAACGGGACAUAAAACCAUAACUAAGUGUAAGCAGGGAGCGUACCCUUUCCGAGAGCAAAGGAAAAAUCCAGAAGUUCCGUAUUAACACUUACGAUGAAUUCCAGACCUCUCUGGACAAGUACGGACACUUAGGUUUCCUUUUUCUGUACUUCACCGGUUCAGAGCUCAGUAAGGAUGGUUAUGAUUGGUGUCCCGAGUGCAGUGAAGCAUUACCUAUAAUAGAACAGGAGAUAGAUAAUGCUUGCAACGUGGUUUUCUUUUUAGUUGAAGUAGGAAACGAAGAACAAUGGCAAUGCAAAGAAAAUCCAUAUAGGUCCCAUCCGAAUUUAAAUUUAAAAGUAGUACCAACGUUUAUGAAAUGGAAUAGUCACCGAAGACUGGAAGGAGACUACUGUGCUAAAGCAGAAUUGGUACAGCUUUUAUUCGAAGACAAUUGUAGUUUUUAACCUUUUAUAGAACUAAAUAAUAAAUUAAUUAAUAAAUUACGAAAAUAAAU